Molecule: long non-coding RNA, 1078 nt
Organism: Carassius gibelio (silver crucian carp)
Lineage: Eukaryota; Metazoa; Chordata; Actinopteri; Cypriniformes; Cyprinidae
Exons: 3
Source: RefSeq, a predicted model, not a curated record
AAGAUUUGGAGAAAUAAAUCAUUACAUCACUUGCUCGCCAAUGGAUCCUCUCCAGUGAAUGGGUGCCGUCAGAAUGAGAGUCCAAACAGCUGAUAAAAACAUGACCCAUUCACUGCAUAGGAGCCACUGCUGAGCAAAUGAUGUAAUGCUAGGAUGGCCUGAGGGUUAGUAUAUUUCCAGCAAGUUUUCAGUUGUGGGUAAACUAUUCCUUUAAAUUAUUAGCCAAGAUAAAAAUGUAGCCUGUACAUCAACCCAUUCUCACUCCAAAGGCGUCAAAAACCGAAGCAUGGUCAAGCGCCCCUAGCGUCACUUUUAUGACGCCAAAUGUGCCUCUCGGCGUCGAAUAUCGAAGCACUACGACCUUCAUUGCUUUCAAUGGGAAACUUUUGGCGUCAGAAUUCGACACGAGGACAUGAGAUGUUUAUCGCUAUGAAAUCACGUUCAAGAAGUCUCAUUCAGCACACAUCGCGAUACUUGCUAUCAGUUCCACAGUUUGGCUGAAAAGACGUAAAGGCAGUCAGCCCAGUGGUGUUUCUGGAGAGGGAUUCCUUCAGAAAUGGAGAAGACAGAAAGCUGCGGAGGCAGAUAUAUGCAGCAGAUUGUUUGAGGAUAACGCUGUAGCUCCAUCAUGCACAAGGACUCACCUCGUUAACUCUUUAUCCCCCGCACACACAGAAAUGGUCCCUGGAUCAGUGAUUAGACUUUGCAGUGGUUUGAUUUUUGCAGAAGAUGUAACUUUGUUUUAAUUAUAAGCUCAUAAUGAAUACAUUACAGAACCAGUGAUGAAAACAAUAGUUAAAAAUAGCGCUCCAUAUUAAAAAUAUAUUGCACACUUGACAUGCAUGUCUUCAUGGUGUUUUUUUGUGAGUUUGAAACAUUUACAUUGUGUUGUAUAACAUUUUGGUCACAACACUUUUUCCAGUGUUCUCUGAAAGACAUACUGUAUUUACUGUUUUGUUUUUUAAUAAAAGCAUUUUCAUUUGCAUACUGAAAAUAGUUAAUGUUUACAACAUAACUGCCUUUUUAUUCUUUAUGGUGGCAAAAACGAGCUUGGUGACAGAGGAUGCAGUGUAGUAAU